AAAAACAGUAACCCCUUCAUUUGCGUAAACAAAGGGCUUUCACAUGUAUUAGCCUGUUAGUUCAUCACAUCUAUUCAGAGUAGGAAAAGGCAGGAACCCAAACGUGCCUUGAAGCUGCCAUCUAAGAAGACACUCCUUCCUGGGCCUCAGCACUGCGCCAGUGCUGCAGCGGACGGUGGUACCUGUCACCCCACUCUAUGGAGCUGUAGUCAUGGGCACAGAAGAGUAAGAUGAAGAGCCCCUCCCUCAUACCACACUAGCUAGAACCUGAUCGCAAGAGGUGGGCACAGUGGGUGCCCACCCAAAUGAUGAGUUGCACUUCUCUCCAGGCUUCUAUUUACAGGAGACUAGGAUAGAAAGAGGAGAGAGGCAAGUAGAGUAACCACAACAGUGGACCAAGCAGAUAAGCUCCCUUCAUUGGCCUCCUUUUACGGACUACUUCAAAUCCUCUCAAACUUGCUUCUUAUUCCUGCAUUGCCAUCGCAACCAGUUCCAUGAAGAAUUUAACCAGCUUCACACAAGUGCAAACUGACAGGCCCACUCACCCCUAGACUCCUCUGUUGCUGUUUCAUGUGUCGCCCAUGGGAACCUGGCAGUCAUACAUGUGCAAUCCAGAAGUGGGGCCGCCUUUAUUCAAUGGGAGACAAGAAACAUGGAUAAAAGCUUCUCCCUUUUUUUCUCUACAUAAACUGUGCUGAGUGCAUUUCAUAAAACUUCUCAGAUAAUCUCUUGGAAUAAAGCAACCAGCUGCCUAUAGCAAUGAUGCUCCAAUAUUGGUUCCUUGUAUUACCAUUGCCUCCUUCCCUAGAUGACUGUCUCUGGUCUUUCACCCCUGCUCCCUGGAUGCCAUUCCCAAUUAAACCACCUGGCACAAAUCUCUGCACAAGACACCACCUAUCAUCAUAGGGUGGGUCCAGGCUCCUUAUCUUAGGAGAAAUGGCCCUCUGAAACAAGGCCUCCACCUGCCAUUCCUGCUUAAUUUCCUAGCACAUCACACCCAGUCACAAAGAACACACAUACUCUUACCCAUUUCUUGUGUUUUACUCAUGCUAUUCCCUCUGCUUAGAAUUCUUCCCAAAAGGGUGUUCAGAGAGUUCUAAAACUUUGUAAUUUAGUACAACCUCAAUAUUACAAAGGAGAAAAUUGAGGCCCAGAAUGGAAAGGUCUGGCCCAAGGUUUUCAAUAGUUAAUUUAGAUAGAGCUAAACACUGUGCUACUUUUUAUGGGCUUCUGCUUCUAGUCCCUAAAGUGUCCAUGAAUAUCUCUAUUCUAGUUUUGAGAGUCUACUGAAUUAAAUGUGUUUCCUCUUUCUACUUCCUAGGAUAUAUGGACUUCCAUUUCCCUUUAAACUAUUGCUCUUUAUUGUCUGAGACAUUGGUCUCUCCCAAAAGAACAGAUAGUAAUUUACUCUUACCCAAUGAUUCAAUCCAGUUCCCCAAACAUUUGCUGUCCACUUUUUGUAAGUAUUUACGAUGAGUGCAGUGAAGAAGACGAAAAUGAGUAAGAUAUGUCCCUUACCCAAAAGGAGUUUAUGAUCCAGUGGGAAAGACAGAGUUGUGUAUAAAUAUCUCCAUAUAUGGUGUGAUUAUUAUGAUGUAAGAAAUAGCCAAAGAGAUGUUUAAAUUACCUGCUGUACUUGUUUAAAAUAUAUACAUAGAGCACAUAUCAAAAAAAGGUUGAUAUUCAUAGUUUAUAAAAUGGGAGGAAGAGUAAGUCAACAUACUAAGAAAACCAUAGCAAAAUGAAGAGCUGAGAAAGAAGACUAUUUGCAGAUGUAACUAUUUCAGAGCUAAUGAUUGUCAUGGAUCAACUAAUCAACAAAUAUACGAAUGCCUGUUAUACAUAAGCCAUUAACUUUUUGUACUACUGUGUUCUAUCAUAUUUCAGACAACCAAAAACCCUCAAACCCUUAAUUACAAUUACAAAGAAACCUUUAAGAGUAUCUAGUCCACUCCUCUCCUGAAGAAACCAAGGCCCAGGAGGUUCUUUUUCUUAUCCAUUAUUUCUUCUGAGAGAUCCAGCCAUUACCAACACUCUUCACCAACAAUUCAGACUUUGAAUCCUCACUCUCCCUUGACUCUUCCCUCUCUCUCAUUUUCAGGAACCAAUCAACUACCAAAUCUGUGGCUUCUGCUACAGAUGCAUCACAUGACUGUAUCCCUCCCAUCUUCAUGCUCUUCUUCAGCCUAUCCUUGCUUCUGGAUGGGGCUGCCUCAAUAAUUCCUGAUUCUCCCAAAAUCACUCUUUCUCUUCCUGCACCAUCCGUCGCAAUGCCAGAGCUGCCCUUCUUAAGCAUAGCUCUGAUCAUGCUUUUCCUUUGCUGCCAAACUCCAAAAACCAAGAACAUGUUAGUUUAACUUUCCAGCUCUCUCAUUCUUAAUUCCACCUGUUCAUGGUUGUUCCUCCCCUCACAUCACCCUUACUCUCCACCUGUGCUAGGCUAUACUCCCACUCCCAUAUACAUUCUGCACUCUCCCUCCCAACAGUAGAGUGUCAUCUCCAAAAUGCCCUACCUGCCAAGGCUUCGAAAUCCUGCUUAACCUUUCUGCUUCCAUAUGGCUUCUCCGAUCUGUAGUUGUUCACUCAUCUAUUGCCCCACCUCUCCACACCCUGUUUCCCAUUGCAUGUUACUUGUACUUAUUUCACAGCAUUUAAUCUUUGAAUUGUGUUUACUGAUGUGUCAGCUAAACCAUUAGAUCAGUGACUCUCAAAUUGUAGUCCCCAAACCAGCAGCAUCAGCAUUAUCUCGGAGCUUGUUAGAAUUGCAAAUUCUCUGCCCAGCCCAGACCUACUGAAUCAGAAACUCUAGGGUGAGGCCCAGCCCUCUGUGUUCUCCUGAGCCCUCCAGGGAUUCUGGUGCACAGUAGAGUGUGAGAACCACUGCACUAGACCAUGAAUCCCCAGAGGGCAGUUGCUCCCAGGAUAAUUUCAGAGGCAAACUUAGAAGGUUGUCUUUAAAAAAAAAAUACUAUAGCAUAUUAUGGACAUUUUUCUUCUGAAUACAUAUUUUUAAGUAAGCAGCUUUUGACCAAAAUAUAUGCAAAUAUCCUAAUAAUAUGAAAAAAGCUGGCAUGUAUUAAUGUGAAUGAAGUUUUCAAAUUUCUCACUUGUUUAUUUUGGGCCUCUUAUUUAAAACUGACUGAAGUUGGCUAAAUUCUUUGAGGGUUAAUUUUUUUUUCCCUCAAUCUUUAGAAUUUUUUAGAGACUUAUUACUCCCUAAGUGCCAUUUUUCCUUGUAAGUUUCACGAUGGCUGUCCUGUGAGGAUAAUUUUCAAACUCAUUUUCCAUUUUUCUAUGACUCAUCUGUGAAACAAUAGAUAACAGUUAAGUGUCACUGACCCUUAAAAUGUGAAACCUAAAGAAACAUUAAAGGGAAGGAAAAAAUUCUCAGGCCACUGAAUCCAGGUAACACCGCUACUUAAGUAAGAUUGUCCUAUUAUAUAACCAGCAAUGGCAGGAAAGUGAGUCGGACAGGAUCAAAGUAGACUGAUUAAAAUGCUGUGGGAUACAGAACUAAAUGAUAAGGGAGUGCUCAGUGAAUUACAAUCACUUACACAUUCUCUACUAAAGGAAUUCUAAACCAUUUUUGCAUCACAGAGCAAAGGGUCUAGAGACCUUUCUAGGCUGGGGCUAUGAUACCUCCCUUGCUUCACAUCAACUCUCCUACUCAUCGAACAUAUGACCAAUUUUAAAUUAUGGUCAAAUUUUACAGACUCCUUGAGUCCUUGGCCCUAGGAAAUCAGGCGUAAGGAAACUGUUGCUGUACAGAAGUCAUCAUAUUAAGUGCUAUGACUUAGAGAAUAUCAAGUAAAUUGAGAAAUAAAUUCUAGGUGAAAUCAGGUGACAGUGUCAAUAAUGGUCACUAGCAUGAGAAAGAGAGAAAGACUGAGAAUUGAAUUUUUGUUUUGAAUUUUUGGAUCUUGCUUUGGUUGUGUUAAAAUAAUUCUAAUCAAUUAUGUGAAGUGCUUAUUAUGUAUGCUUAACUUGUGCUUAAUUACAACAAUGUCUUCUCAACAUGUUCCAAAUUAAUAUUGUUAUCCUUUAUUUGAUUGCAACAGAAAACUCUUCAGGUCUGUCUAGCCAGGUCCCAAGGCCCAGCUCUGGACAUAUUACCUGACCGUCCUGAGAGCUAAGCCACACACAGGCCCAAAAGAACUUGGCCAUUAGAGAGUCAGCCAUGCUGGGAUGGGCCUCACACUCUUUUUUAGGAGGACUGUGUCCUCAGUCAGGCAUCGGAGCACAAAGGUUUCAUGGGUAGCCUACCGCACACUAAGCCACUAACCAACACCUGAUUUGGGGGCAUCAUUCUGGUCCCUUCGACCAGAUUAUCUGGUCUCUGAGCAUAAUUGUCUGCCCACAACUUUCAUUUAAAAAGAGGGACUCAGGCCAGGCGCGGUGGCUCAUGCCUGUAAUCCCAGCACUUCG
Molecule: long non-coding RNA, 4425 nt
Filed under: Homo sapiens (human)
Lineage: Eukaryota; Metazoa; Chordata; Mammalia; Primates; Hominidae
Description: HSALNT0064128
Source: RNAcentral